This 1951-nucleotide unclassified non-coding RNA is filed under the name Zea mays. RNAcentral's name for it is "misc RNA Zm00001eb162460". The record is from RNAcentral. Lineage: Eukaryota; Viridiplantae; Streptophyta; Magnoliopsida; Poales; Poaceae.
CGAUCACGCCUUCGGACACGCUCCUCUCCCCCGCUCCCUCCCUCCCUCCCCUCCGCUUCUUCGGCCACUCCCGUCUCCUCCACCGCCACUGCAUCUACCGUGUCGCAGACGCAGACGCGUACGUCUCCGUGCUCCACUCACCGCGCCCGCCUGCGACCGUCCGCGAGCUUUAUUAUAGCCAUCCAAGUCCAACACAGCGCAGAGAGUGCGCACGAUACCACUGCCAGACAGAGUGCGGAGCGCCACUGUCGUCCAGAACUCCAUACACCAAGCCAUGAAAGCGGACGCUCCGGCGACGCCGUGCAGGAAGCCGGCGCCCCUUCCGCCGCCGCCCGCGCUGCUCGCCGUGCGUGCGCGCUCGCGGUCGCGGGUGGCCGACCUGGGCUUCGGCGCGGCGUUCCCGGGCGGCCCGCCGGACACGCCGCCGCGCCGCUCGCCCGUCACCGUGCCGUUCCUCUGGGAGGAGGCGCCCGGGAAGCCCAAGGCGCCGCCGCCGCCCACCGCCGCGGCUCCGGCCGCCACCAACGCCGGCCCCGUUCCCGAAGGCGGCGGCGGCGGCGGCGACGACGAACAGCACGACGACCAGGCGCGCCCCGUCCCCGUGCCGCUGAAGCUGCCCCCGCGGCUGCAGCAGGUGGCGUCGUUCGCGGCGGCGGACACCCCGCUGCUUCCGUCCCCGAAGGCCGUGCUCCAGGGCCCCUACUACUACGGCUGCGCCGGCGACGGCAGCAGGAGGCCGCCGCCGAGGUGGUUCCGCAGCGGCGGCGCCUUCCGGAGGACGCCGAGCGCCGGCGUGGGACUCUUCUCUCGGACCUGGAGCAAGCCCGCGCCGGCUCCGGCGCCGGCAAGCGGCAAGAGCAGACACGGCGACGACCACGAGCGCGACGCGGCGGGGCCCGACGCCCCGUGGUGCUCGCCGGCGUCGUCCUCCUCCUCGUCGUCUGUGUCCACCUGCUUCGGCGGCGACGAGCACGGUCGCGGGAAGCCCUGCGCCGACGGGCGCGAGGUCUCCUCGGAGGAGGACGGCGGCUCGCCUCCGAGGGGGUCGGUGAGGAUCACGAGGCUUAGGAGGAACCGGAGCCUCCCCAGCGUCACCACGUCUAACCUCUGGGCAAGCAUCCGUAGGAGUUUCGAGCAGAUUACUCCGUGGAGCUACAAGUUCGGUCGGUCACGACCGCCAGGUGCCAACGCUACUGAAUAAAUGAAUAAAUUAUCGGAAGCACCAAAUCGCAAUGCAACCUGUGGUGCGUGGACGUGGAGGCUCUGCAACCCAUGUAGCGAAAAAAGUCUCUAAUGUAUGCUACCUUCGACUUUGGAGUAACCUACGCACGGGACCCCAUCCAUCGUACCACACGUUCUUUCUGUAUAAGAUUUUUGUUCAGUUCGCUCUCUAUCUAUAUAGAUUGAGUGAAUUUAAAUUUUAAAUAAGUCAAAUAUCUACUUAAUUUUUCUAAUUCUAAUCCAUUCCAUGUAUAAUAAAAAUAAUCGAACAAUGGCUAAAUGUGAUACGACAUUGUCAAAGGAGACGGCAAUAACAAUGAAGAAACUGACUGGGACGGAGGGCAAUACCAUAGGUCAUGCCAGCGCACAAAACAUGUGAUACCUCUCAUGUCAAAGAGACAAAAUCUUCCGUUGGUUUUCAAACCCGUACCUAGUUGCACGGGAGGAGGAGGGCAGCAGCAGGAGGCUUCCAUCUGGCGAAGAAUUAGAAAUACACGCAGAGGUUAGUUACUUUCUCCGUUUCAUUUUAGUUGUCGCUAGACAGUAUACAGUUUAACUAUCCAGCGACAACUUAAAAGAAACAGAUAAAGUACCAUGGAUCGUUUUCGGAGACAGACGAAAUGCAGGUAGCACUUGUAACGUUUUCUUUCCCGUGACGUUUUCACGGGAUGGUUAUAAUAACCGUGGAUUAGUUGUUAAUCUCACUCUCCUUUAGCAUUGAUUGACAAAU